RNAcentral lists this long non-coding RNA (5515 nucleotides) under Homo sapiens (human). RNAcentral describes it as "long non-coding RNA NONHSAT135350.2". Lineage: Eukaryota; Metazoa; Chordata; Mammalia; Primates; Hominidae. The record is from RNAcentral.
CGGCCCCGCCCUGGGAGCCCCGCAGUGCGUCGCGCCGCUGCCCGCAUCUCCGAGGCCCGCGACGAGCGGGGCCUCACGGGAGCUGGAUGCUCGGAGCAGCAAGGCGGCCCUGGGGGCCCCUUCCGGUCCCGGGGCUGACGCCUGGCGGCGUCUCCGGGAACCCGCGCCCUUUCAAGCGCCGCUGGCUCCUGUUUCACAGAUGGAGACCCUGAAGCCCCAACAAGCAGCCUCCCCAGCACCUCCCAGUGACUGAAAAAGCUGGCACUGGGCGCCCGUCUCACUCUCCACCCAGCUCCCAGGCUGCCCCACGGGACGUAAGUAGCUCGAUCUAGGCCGCUGACCCCCAGAGACUUGAUGCUGCGCUGCAGACUGCCGCCGCUGCCGGGGCGCUUGACUUCCCCUCUCCUGACAGCACGUUCGUUCCUUUGCAGCAGCACCUUUGGGGAGAGACGAGACCUGAACAAACGCUGGGGCUGGAUCCCCAGGGUGGGUCAGAACAGCCGUUGCCCUGAAAGCUGGCCCGGACAGAUGCGUGCGGGGCGUGCCACCGGAGCUCCUUCCAGCUUGCGUCUGGGGCCACCAUGUCCCUUCCUCAGGGCACUGGAUCCAUCUCUUCAAGCUCAGUGGUCCAGGCCAUGGUGGCAGAAUCACCCCCCAGGGUGUGACGCCUCGUCCCUGUCAAUUCCACACAGCUGCACCCGGAAGAGCUGUGGCCGGGCGCCGCUCUGACCUGUGUGCGGUCCCCUGAAUGGGUCUCAGGUGUCUUCAGAAUGGUGAGGCCGCCUCAUUUCCUCACCACACAACCCUCCUGAGGACGUUGCCUGCAAAUGGGCGGAAUUCCUAAUUUCUACCAUUCAGUUAAACGAGGGAUCCUUAAGCCCCAAAGCUGGGAAAGCUGUCCGUUAAUUUAGUGCGCGUGGGCCGUCUCAGAACAGCAGGGUUCCCAGGAGUCCAGCGGGACGGGGGAGGGGAUGAGUGGCCGUGUCCCCCUGGCAGAGAAGGCCUUGUCUGAAGGCUACGCCCGCCUCCGGUACAGGGACACCUCCUUGCUCAUCUGGCAGCAGCAACAGCAGAAGUUGGAGUCGGUGCCACCUGGGACGUACCUGAGCAGGAGCCGAAGCAUGUGGUACUCACAGUAUGGAAAUGAGGCCAUCUUGGUCCGAGACAAAAACAAGCUCGAGGUCUCUAGGGACACAGGGCAGUCCAAGUUUUGCACAAUUAUGUAAUUCCGAUGUGAGCACCUGAACCCAGGACCACACUUUGAGGAAAACAGACCUGAGUUUCAUUCAGUUGUCUUGUUGAUUUCCAAUCCUUGCUGGAAGAUUUUGAAUAAUGAACGUGAAGAUCAAACUGUGGUGUAAGAACCCAAGAAGCGCAGAAUUGGCCCCCGAACCCCUCAGCACAGCCGCGGUGUGACUGGUGCACAGGACACUUCCCCUCUAGAGUCCCCUCCGUGGUCAGCUGUUGUGACAUUUGAAUUCUCCAGCUGUGCAAGUUCAUUCGCAAACGUCCUAGAAGUGGAACUGCUGGGUCAAAGUGCAUUCCCCAAAUGUCCUGCCAGAGGCCUGGUCGGCAGCAGCCUCCUGCACAGCCCGAGUCCCUUCUGCGAGAGUCCUGGCUUGUUUGCAGCCUGCAGCUGGGAGAUUUGAAGUCAGACUUCCAGGAUUGCCGCAUGGAGCUGCAGAGGGAGUGAGCAUGGGGCUGGAGGACCUGCCCCGCCGGCUGACACUCCCACAGCAAGGCGGGCCCGCCAAGGAAGCACUCCACAUCCGCUAGGUAGGGUUUGUCUGCAUCUUUUCAGUUCUUCAGUUUAAGUCCUGCCUGGGAAGAAAGCAAACUCCAGAGGCAAAUCUGGAAUGCCUGUGUGCCACCUUCUCACCGCACCACAGACUCCCCUGAGGACGGGUUGUGGCGGGGUUGGCCCCAAGCAUGGGAGGCAGCGCAGACAUGCAGAAUGGGGUCUGAGGUCACGUUGCAACGCUGGCAGGAUGUGUGCUCAAGGGCCAGUCUCUGCAGGGGUCAGGGCGUGUGGGCCACGCACAAGGAGCUGGCACUAAGCCGCUUAGGCUGCAGGAAGACACCAUCUGCCUGGGGCGGACAAGGCCCCAUGUCCGUCCUCAAGGAGGCUGGUCUGGAUGAGAAGGGUCACAGUCUGGCCAGGAGUGUCACCGUGCCCCCUGACCCCAUCUGGGGUCGGGCUGGACAGGUCCUCAGGCCUAGACGUGGGCCCAGCCAGAACCUUCUCCCCUGGCAUGUCUCUUCCAGGCCUAGUUCCAGAGCUGUCAUUCUUCGGCGAGCCGCGCUGCACGCCAGCCUCCAGUCUGGCAGUUAAACCUCACUAUGAAAAUCUGCUUUUGGGAUUUUAUUUGCAUUUCCAUUAGACUGAGCGCAUCACAAGCCACUUCAGGAUAGACUGAGGUGCAGAGGGAGGGGACAAGCGGCCAGGUUGACUAGAAGAGCACAGAACCUGGCUGUCUCGAAGAGGGCAGCUUGUUCCAGGGAACCAAUGAACUGUCAGUAAAGGGGAUUGUGGCUUCCUAGUGAGGCAAGAAAUGAUGCUCCCUUCAUCCUGCCAGGGCUCAGGACAAGAGCUACUUAAUGGUUUGAUUAUUAUUAUUUUUUAAGAGAUGUUGUCCAGGCUGGAGUGCAGUGAUGCAAUCAUGGCUUACUGCAGCCUCAAACUCCUGGCCUCAGGCCAUCCUCCUGCCUCAGCCUCCCAAAGUGCUGUGAUCACAGGCACGAGCCACUGCAUCCUGCCUUUAAAUGGUUUUUUGGGGCCCCUUUUGGAUGCUCUGGGUGUUUUUGCCAAGAGUUACAGGAUGUCAAGUGUGGGGAGCUCAGCACCCUUGCUGUGGACCAGUGAAGGCUGUUCCAGACCAGGUGCUUCCAGACAUUUCCAGGCUCCAGGAGAGAGGCUGGGAGCCCCCACAGAAAGCACAGGAAAAUGCAAAAAAAAAAAACAGUCUUUUUUUUUUUUUUUUUUUUUGCUUUUUAUUAUGAAAACAAAACAAAUGCCCCAGGAGAAGGGUCCAUGAUUACCAGAAACAUCAAAGAGUACUUUCUACCAUUUUUAUUCUGUUGUGUUGAGGCCAGCAUUGCAAUAAACAAGCUAAACUACUUACAUUGGACUCAUUUUCAGUAACUGACAUUUACAGGAAUAUACUAGAAACGGCACUAAAAAGUUUAAGAAAAGUUACGGUAAACUUGCAUGCACAUCAUACAGAAAAGUAACAUUUUAAAUAUAAAAAAGAAAAACUUCCUGGAAGCAUUAUGCCAGUAUUAAGGAACAGUGCUACUCUGGAUGUGACAAAUUCUGUAUGUGGGUGUUACUCUUUCCCAAAAGACUGUCAGAGGCGUGAGUGCUGCAAAAGAACAACAACAAAAACAAACACACAAAAAAAUGUGUCUUACAGUUUGUAAGCAAGAUGACACUGCCCAACACAAAGAGGGGUCUGGAGUUCAGUUCACGCCCGAAGCCUGCCCCCUCGGCCUCCAGGGGUCAUUCAGAGUGUUCUCAAAUCCAAUUCCGACACACGACUUGUCACUACUCCUCUCCCCUUGAAAAAAGCAUGUUAGAAGCUGCCCUACAGGUCUCAGCAGUGGGACAAUCUAAUUGAAUCACCGCAGCCUUCUAAUACAGAAGAAACGGACGUGACUGUCACCCUCAGCCCGCCAGCAAGGGCGCUGAGGAAGUCAUUAAUCCUUCGAAACUCUGAAAAGAAACCAGUGUUGAAGUCUGGACAGAAAGCCUUAAAAAAGUGACAGCACCAAUGCAGCUGCUCAGUGUACCCGCCGUGGGCUGUCAGGGUCAGUGGCUUCUUUCUAGAUGAAAGGAGCAGAGGCGAGCCGACGCCACCGUCACAGAGAACCAGCCGAGAAGGAAAGGCCCCACGAUGCUCCUGCUGCGCUGCCCCCACAGCCGGCCGCUCCCCCGACGGCUCACACAGGCAGCACCUCACUGCCCUGUGGCUGGAGGGGCAUUGCAAGGAGCGCCCCCCAGCCCCAGGCACCCCCGGCUUAGGGUGUACGUAUCACCCAGCCCUGUGCUGGCAGCACGUUACCAACCAGCCUGCGUGAAGACCUGUCAACUGUCGUGUGUGAAUUCCUUAAAUUCGGUUUAAAUAGUCCAUUAAAGAUCUGUUUAGAAAAUACCUUUGAAAACGAGGGUAACUUUAAAAAAUGGAAACUUUCAAAUCCAUUUAUAUUUUUAUUAUAAACAAAACUUAAUUAAAAGUUUAACAAACUGGCUGAAAACUCACCAAGUGUCAGACUCACCAGCAAUUUAAAAAAUGAUAAUUUACCAGCAUCUCCUCAUCAGAGUUCCCUCUCCAGUAAGGGUAUACCUACAUCUGUAAGGGUCAGUGGACUCUGAAUCAAUUUUAUGGUUGUUUUAAAAUCACCGUGUAUUAGGAUACUAAUGAUAGUCCCUAUAUCCAUCCAGAAAUGCUGGCAGAAAGCACUGGCCACCAUACAGGACAGACCACACCACAGCUCCAUACCCAGCGUCUGCCUGGAGGCUCCCCCACGCUGAGGUCCGGGAGAAUGCCUGGUUUCAGUCAUUUCCGGACUAACUGUGACAACGCGUGAGCAGGGAGCACCGUGCGAGUCUCCGGGAGGGAAUCCUCCUGGGGCCCAGAGACUCCUCCACCCCUGGGGAGGGCAGACAGGCUCGGGAGGGCCUGGCCAGGCCACUGGAGGCUGGCAGGGAGCAGGCAUGUCCACCCGCAAGCCUGGGAGGCUAACUCUGGCAUUCCUGGCCGGAGCCGCCAUGCUCAUUGGUGGGCCAGUUUGGGACAUCCCCGUACUCAAAGACCAUAUGGCAGCCUCUGGGAAAACAAAACCAAAACAUCACCUUCUAUUAAACUCUGUAUAUUAUUAUUUUUUACAAUAGAAAGUUAAAAAUCAAGACUUAGAUUUACUAUACAUUUUUUCUCUCAGAUUACAAAGUUUAUAUUAUAUAACUGGGGUUCCCUAAAUUGAUUUCUUUUAAAACAGUCUUAAAGAGACCAGAAGUGAAUACAAAAGAACUAAACAAAAUAAAAAAUUAGAAUGUGCUGUAGCUGAAAGCUGUCUAUACCUGUAAGCCUCCAAGUUUCAUACAAAAAAAAAAAAAAAAAAAAACCACAAAGAAAAAAACCAAAAAACCCAACAAACCCAGGGGCGAGCGCGCGAACAGACGUGGGUGAGCACCGCGCGGUGGCAGGAGUUAGCACCUGGAGACGACAGGCCGCCGCCAGACAGGACCCGCGCCCGGCACACCACUGGCAAGGCCUGCAUCUCUGCGACUGUGUGAAUGCAUUUCUUCUGCGGUUUUUUCUUAUUUUCUUUUUUUUAAAAAUGACCAAUGAUGUUAAUAAAUAACUAUUUAUAUACACAUAAGCUCGGGAAGUGGUUCCCAAGGGUGGCGCGGCAGCAGCAGCAGGGGCAGCGCUAGCCAGGCGGGGACUCACAGCGGGCUGGACUUCCGUAGAAAAUUGCCGAACCUUACAAAAAAAGUCUCCUUUUUUUUUUUUUU